This 618-nucleotide ribosomal RNA is filed under the name Drosophila putrida. RNAcentral's name for it is "partial 16S ribosomal RNA". It matches the Rfam family "Bacterial large subunit ribosomal RNA", at positions 1895 to 2761 of the family's 2925-position model. The record is from RNAcentral. Lineage: Eukaryota; Metazoa; Arthropoda; Insecta; Diptera; Drosophilidae.
UUAAAGUCUAACCUGCCCACUGAAUUUUUAAAUGGCCGCAGUAUCCUAACUGUGCAAAGGUAGCAUAAUCAUUAGUCUUUUAAUUGAAGGCUGGAAUGAAUGGUUGGACGAAAUAUUAACUGUUUCAUUUUAAUUUUUUAUAGAAUUUUAUUUUUUAGUCAAAAAGCUAAAAUUUUAUUAAAAGACGAGAAGACCCUAUAAAUCUUUAUAUUUUGUUUAUUUUGAUUUUAAAGAUUAUUUUAAUUUUUAUAAAUAAAAAUAUUUUAUUGGGGUGAUAUUAAAAUUUAAAAAACUUUUAAUUUUUAAAACCAUUAAUUUAUGAGUUAUUGAUCCAUUAAUAAUGAUUAAAAAUUUAAGUUACUUUAGGGAUAACAGCGUAAUUUUUUUGGAGAGUUCAUAUCGAUAAAAAAGAUUGCGACCUCGAUGUUGGAUUAAGAUAUAAUUUUGGGUGUAGCCGUUCAAAUUUUAAGUCUGUUCGACUUUUAAAUUCUUACAUGAUCUGAGUUCAAACCGGCGUAAGCCAGGUUGGUUUCUAUCUUUAAUUAAUUAUAAUAUUUUAGUACGAAAGGACCAAAUAUUAAAAUAAUUAUAUUUUAAAAAAGAAUAUUAUUAAUAAUU